This 497-nucleotide ribosomal RNA is filed under the name uncultured bacterium. Its description in RNAcentral is "partial 16S ribosomal RNA". It matches the Rfam family "Bacterial small subunit ribosomal RNA", at positions 28 to 507 of the family's 1533-position model. The record is from RNAcentral.
GAUGAACGCUGGCGGCGCGCCUAAUACAUGCAAGUCGAGCGAACAGACGAGGAGCUUGCUCCUUCGACGUUAGCGGCGGACGGGUGAGUAACACGUAGAUAACCUACCUAUAAGACUGGGAUAACUUCGGGAAACCGGAGCUAAUACCGGAUAAUAUUUCGAACCGCAUGGUUCGAUAGUGAAAGAUGGCUUUGCUGUCACUUAUAGAUGGACCUGCGCCGCAUUAGCUAGUUGGUAAGGUAACGGCUUACCAAGGCAACGAUGCGUAGCCGACCUGAGAGGGUGAUCGGCCACACUGGAACUGAGACACGGUCCAGACUCCUACGGGAGGCAGCAGUAGGGAAUCUUCCGCAAUGGGCGAAAGCCUGACGGAGCAACGCCGCGUGAGUGAUGAAGGUCUUCGGAUCGUAAAACUCUGUUAUUAGGGAAGAACAAACGUGUAAGUAACUGUGCACGUCUUGACGGUACCUAAUCAGAAAGCCACGGCUAACUACGUG